Long non-coding RNA from Magallana angulata, 881 nucleotides. RefSeq lists it as uncharacterized. The transcript is spliced from 2 exons. Lineage: Eukaryota; Metazoa; Mollusca; Bivalvia; Ostreida; Ostreidae. The record is from RefSeq and is a predicted model, not a curated record.
UAUUUAUGUUCAUGGAGAAAUGUGUUAUUAAGUCCAGUGAUGAGCCUGUCGACGCCGGGUCAGAAAUAUAAAUAAAAUGCUACCACUGACCACGGUGCGUCAGAUCAUUAGUAUGCACUUGAUCGCAUUUACUUAUUAGGAGGAGAAUGUUUUAGCGCAGUGUCUGUGCGUAUAAAAUGGGGGUGCGGGAAACGCAGCUCUCCAGUAGUCAUCUGGAAGCUGUCUUUCUGCCUCCUCUUUUUAUACAGACUGGGACACGGGCUACUCCCCAUGUAGAGGAGGAGCCUUUCCAGUAGCACCUUGGCUAGGGCACCCGCCAGGUGUGGGCAUGUUGGGAAUAAGAUCUCGAGGAUCAAAUUAAAUAUCAUAACACUCCAUAUAACUCCCUAGUGGAAUUUUAUAAAACAGUACUGAAAUCGUUAUGAUAUAGUAGUGGAGAAACCGGGAUCGAGCGUUAUGAUAUAGUGGUGGAAUCCGGGUUUCCAACUUGUCCUAGCCGCCCCACGGAAAAGCCAUCAACGACAUAACGGACACAAUUGGGACACAAACCUAAAGCAACAGCGCCUCCACAGCAUCGUCUGAUCAUUACCACGGACGCAAACAACGCCUGGGAUGCUCUUCAACACCCGGGACCGAAUCGAUUCCCUGGACGUAAUCAACGCUUACAGCAUAUCAACGCGGACGGAUACAACGCCCCGGACGCACAUCAGGUCCCGGACAUUAACAACGCACCGGAGAACCUCCCUAGCAUCAGCCAGGAAUAUGUAGCAACGAGAACUACAUGACACAGUACAAACAGCAGAUGUAUAUGUACGAGCCAUCUGAAUCACAGCGAAGAUCCGAAUAAAAUUCAAAAUUAUAUUAAAUGUUUUUAAUCUUGA